This 401-nucleotide ribosomal RNA is filed under the name uncultured Pseudomonas sp. Its description in RNAcentral is "bacterial SSU rRNA". It matches the Rfam family "Bacterial small subunit ribosomal RNA", at positions 984 to 1382 of the family's 1533-position model. The record is from RNAcentral. Lineage: Bacteria; Pseudomonadati; Pseudomonadota; Gammaproteobacteria; Pseudomonadales; Pseudomonadaceae.
ACAUGCAGAGAACUUUCCAGAGAUGGAUUGGUGCCUUCGGGAACUCUGACACAGGUGCUGCAUGGCUGUCGUCAGCUCGUGUCGUGAGUAUGUUGGGUUAAGUCCCGUAACUAGCGCAACCCUUGUCCUUAGUUACCAGCACGUUAUGGUGGGCACUCUAAGGAGACUGCCGGUGACAAACCGGAGGAAGGUGGGGAUGACGUCAAGUCAUCAUGGCCCUUACGGCCUGGGCUACACACGUGCUACAAUGGUCGGUACAAAGGGUUGCCAAGCCGCGAGGUGGAGCUAAUCCCAUAAAACCGAUCGUAGUCCGGAUCGCAGUCUGCAACUCGACUGCGUGAAGUCGGAAUCGCUAGUAAUCGUGAAAUCAGAAUGUCACGGUGAAUACGUUCCCGGGCCUU